Molecule: ribosomal RNA, 158 nt
Filed under: Ophiostoma ips
Lineage: Eukaryota; Fungi; Ascomycota; Sordariomycetes; Ophiostomatales; Ophiostomataceae
Description: 5.8S ribosomal RNA
Rfam family: 5.8S ribosomal RNA (bases 1-85)
About the family: 5.8S ribosomal RNA (5.8S rRNA) is a component of the large subunit of the eukaryotic ribosome.
Source: RNAcentral
AAUUGCAGAAUUCAGCGAGUCAUCGAAUCUUUGAACGCACAUUGCGCCCGCCAGCAUUCUGGCGGGCAUGCCUGUCCGAGCGUCAUUUCCCCCCUCAGCGCGCUCUCGCGCUGGCGUUGGGGCUCCUCCGCCCUCGGGCGGCAGGGCCCUCAAAACCA